This 75-nucleotide transfer RNA is filed under the name Ruminococcus sp. RNAcentral describes it as "tRNA-Glu". It matches the Rfam family "tRNA". Rfam says of the family: Transfer RNA (tRNA) molecules are approximately 80 nucleotides in length. Their secondary structure includes four short double-helical elements and three loops (D, anti-codon, and T loops). RNAcentral also lists the same sequence under 7 other names. Lineage: Bacteria; Bacillati; Bacillota; Clostridia; Eubacteriales; Oscillospiraceae. The record is from RNAcentral.
GGCCCGGUGGUCAAGCGGUCAAGACACCGCCCUUUCACGGCGGUAACACGAGUUCAAAUCUCGUCCGGGUCACCA